GGUUAAGUGAAUAAGGGCGCACGGUGGAUGCCUUGGCACUAGGAGCCGAUGAAGGACGGGACUAACACCGAUAUGCUUUGGGGAGCUGUAAGUAAGCUAUGAUCCAGAGAUUUCCGAAUGGGGGAACCCAAUAUCUUUUAUAGGAUAUUACUUUUCAGUGAAUACAUAGCUGAUUAGAGGUAGACGCAGAGAACUGAAACAUCUUAGUACCUGCAGGAAGAGAAAGAAAAUUCGAUUCCCUGAGUAGCGGCGAGCGAAACGGGAAGAGCCCAAACCAACAAGCUUGCUUGUUGGGGUUGUAGGACUCCAACAUGGUAGUCUGUUAGUAUAGUUGAAGGAUUUGGAAAAUUCCGCUAAAGAGGGUGAAAGCCCCGUAGACGAAAUGCUGACAACACCUAGGAGGAUCCUGAGUACGGCGGAACACGAGAAAUUCCGUCGGAAUCCGCGGGGACCAUCCCGCAAGGCUAAAUACUCCCUAGUGACCGAUAGUGAACCAGUACCGUGAGGGAAAGGUGAAAAGCACCCCGGAAGGGGAGUGAAAUAGAUCCUGAAACCGUGUGCCUACAACAAGUCAAAGCUCGUUAAUGAGUGAUGGCGUGCCUUUUGUAGAAUGAACCGGCGAGUUACGAUUGCAUGCGAGGUUAAGUCGAAGAGACGGAGCCGCAGCGAAAGCGAGUCUGAAUAGGGCGAAUGAGUAUGUAGUCGUAGACCCGAAACCAUGUGAUCUACCCAUGUCCAGGUUGAAGGUGCGGUAAAACGCACUGGAGGACCGAACCCACGUACGUUGAAAAGUGCGGGGAUGAGGUGUGGGUAGCGGAGAAAUUCCAAACGAACUUGGAGAUAGCUGGUUCUCUCCGAAAUAGCUUUAGGGCUAGCCUCGGAAUUGAGAAUGAUGGAGGUAGAGCACUGUUUGGACUAGGGGCCCAUCUCGGGUUACCGAAUUCAGAUAAACUCCGAAUGCCAUUCAUUUAUAUCCGGGAGUCAGACUGCGAGUGAUAAGAUCCGUAGUCGAAAGGGAAACAGCCCAGACCACCAGCUAAGGUCCCAAAAUAUAUGUUAAGUGGAAAAGGAUGUGGGGUUGCACAGACAACUAGGAUGUUGGCUUAGAAGCAGCCACCAUUUAAAGAGUGCGUAAUAGCUCACUAGUCGAGUGACCCUGCGCCGAAAAUGUACCGGGGCUAAACAUAUUACCGAAGCUGUGGACUACACCAUUAGGUGUAGUGGUAGGAGAGCGUUCUAAGGGCGUUGAAGGUCGAUCGUGAGGACGGCUGGAGCGCUUAGAAGUGAGAAUGCCGGUAUGAGUAGCGAAAGACAGGUGAGAAUCCUGUCCACCGUAUGACUAAGGUUUCCUGGGGAAGGCUCGUCCGCCCAGGGUUAGUCGGGACCUAAGCCGAGGCCGAUAGGCGUAGGCGAUGGACAACAGGUUGAUAUUCCUGUACCAGUUGUUUUUGUUUGAGCAAUGGAGGGACGCAGUAGGCUAAGGAAUGCAUGCGAUUGGAAGUGCAUGUCCAAGCAAUGAGUCUUGAGUAGAGUUAAAUGCUUUACUCUCUAAGGACAAGUUGUGACGGGGAGCGAAAUAAUAGUAGCGAAGUUCCUGAUGUCACACUGCCAAGAAAAGCUUCUAGUGAGAAAACAACUGCCCGUACCGUAAACCGACACAGGUAGUCGAGGAGAGUAUCCUAAGGUGAGCGAGCGAACUCUCGUUAAGGAACUCGGCAAAAUGACCCCGUAACUUCGGGAGAAGGGGUGCUGACUUCGGUCAGCCGCAGUGAAUAGGCCCAAGCGACUGUUUAUCAAAAACACAGGUCUCUGCAAAAUCGUAAGAUGAAGUAUAGGGGCUGACGCCUGCCCGGUGCUGGAAGGUUAAGAGGAUGGGUUAGCUUCGGCGAAGCUCAGAAUUGAAGCCCCAGUAAACGGCGGCCGUAACUAUAACGGUCCUAAGGUAGCGAAAUUCCUUGUCGGGUAAGUUCCGACCCGCACGAAAGGCGUAACGAUUUGGGCACUGUCUCAACGAGAGACUCGGUGAAAUUUUAGUACCUGUGAAGAUGCAGGUUACCCGCGACAGGACGGAAAGACCCCAUGGAGCUUUACUGUAGUUUGAUAUUGAGUGUUUGUACCACAUGUACAGGAUAGGUAGGAGCCGAUGAGACCGGAACGCUAGUUUCGGAGGAGGCGCUGGUGGGAUACUACCCUUGUGUUAUGAACCCUCUAACCCGCACCACUAAUCGUGGUGGGAGACAGUGUCAGAUGGGCAGUUUGACUGGGGCGGUCGCCUCCUAAAAGGUAACGGAGGCGCCCAAAGGUUCCCUCAGAAUGGUUGGAAAUCAUUCGAAGAGUGUAAAGGCAGAAGGGAGCUUGACUGCGAGACCUACAAGUCGAGCAGGGACGAAAGUCGGGCUUAGUGAUCCGGUGGUUCCGCAUGGAAGGGCCAUCGCUCAACGGAUAAAAGCUACCCUGGGGAUAACAGGCUUAUCUCCCCAAGAGUCCACAUCGACGGGGAGGUUUGGCACCUCGAUGUCGGCUCGUCGCAUCCUGGGGCUGUAGUCGGUCCCAAGGGUUGGGCUGUUCGCCCAUUAAAGCGGCACGCGAGCUGGGUUCAGAACGUCGUGAGACAGUUCGGUCCCUAUCCGUCGCGGGCGUUGGAAAUUUGAGAGGAGCUGUCCUUAGUACGAGAGGACCGGGAUGGACUUACCGCUGGUGUACCAGUUGUUCUGCCAAGGGCAUUGCUGGGUAGCUAUGUAGGGAAGGGAUAAACGCUGAAAGCAUCUAAGUGUGAAGCCCACCUCAAGAUGAGAUUUCCCAUUUCUUUAAGAAAGUAAGACCCCUGAGAGAUGAUCAGGUAGAUAGGUUGGAAGUGGAAGGCUAGUGAUAGUUGGAGCGGACCAAUACUAAUCGGUCGAGGACUUAACCAA
This 2912-nucleotide ribosomal RNA is filed under the name Enterococcus faecalis. RNAcentral describes it as "23S ribosomal RNA". It matches the Rfam family "Bacterial large subunit ribosomal RNA". The record is from RNAcentral. Lineage: Bacteria; Bacillati; Bacillota; Bacilli; Lactobacillales; Enterococcaceae.